AUACCUGAAUAUGGUGUUGACUCUUGAAUCUCAUCAAGCCUCUAACCAUUUAACCUUUGGCUUUCCUGACCCACUUCUCGCAAUUCCAUGUGGGUCUUUAUUAUUCAGCCUUUACCAUUUACCCUUCCUAUUCAUGGACCAUGUGACUCUAACAUCAGAUUAAUAGAAGAGUGCCUCAGUGGCCACUUUGGCACUUAGGUCUCCACGCAUCACUGCUGUUCAAUGGGGGCACUGCUGGCAUUGAGAGAGCAGGUCUGUGGUCCUUGGACUGAAAGAGUUUGAGCAUCCUGGCCUUCCAUCGCUGAGAACCAGCACUGCCAGGGAUUUACAAUAAGCAAAAAUGUCCCCCCAAAUUUCCAAGUGGCUCCUUGUUGAGUCACACUGCUUGAGAUCUGCCUUUAGAUCUUUCAGAAACACACAUUUUCUCCCUAAAUGGGAUUGUUUGUGCCUCUGUCAAUACACUGUUUCUUUUUUGAAGGCUUGUCAUAUUUUAAAGUCAUUCUUCCUUUUAAAGUUUUUUUUUUUUUUUAGCCUUGGAAUGAGUCAUACAUUAUUUUAUUUUGUUUUCUUUUGUUUUACUUAUUAUUAUGGGAAAUGUGGAACACACACAAAUAGCGUAGUAUAAGGAACCCCCAUGGAUCCAUCACCUCGUUUUAACAAUUAUGACCUCAUAGACAUUCCUGUUUUUUUCUAUACAGCCACCUACGAUUCUCCACCUACUCCGCCCGCUGCCAUUAGGUAAUUUUGAAGCAAAUCACAGACAUCAUUCAUGCCAAGAGGGGACAAAAGCUGAAUUAUAAGCCCACACAAUUUAUGGUUCUUCAGGCUUGCCACUUGGAUGUCUACAACCGUGUCAACUCACUACUAAGUCAGCUGCAAAUUACUCGGUUCCCAACCUAAUAUUUGGUGUACAAAUGAGGGCACUGUGCUCUGUAAAGUUGUUCUUGCACAGUUGCGUCUGCCUCAGCUGGGAAAAACGUGUAAGUAUUUGCACAAACCGGUCUGUUAUCUCAGAGAAUCCAGGAUUGUUUCAAAGUGGCUUCAAUUCAGUUUAGUGGGUAAUUAUUGAGCAUCAACUAAGUUCUGGGCCUUUUAGGGAUUUGGUGGCGAAUGUAUUCAUGCAGGCUUCUCAGACUGUGCUCCUAGGGUUAGUAACAUUUGCAGCCCCUGGAAAUUUUUAAGAAAUGCAAUUUCCAGCGCCCCACCCCUUGCUACACAAGUCAGGGAUUCUGGUCCCGUGUCUGCAUUUUAGUAAGUCACGGGGUGACUGAAGCACUACAGUUUAAGAACCACUAAUGUUGUGUUAAUGAGUGACUCUCAAUGCAAUAAAGCUCAAUAAUUGUUAGAUGAAUGGAUGGAUGACAAAACAAACAAUAACAAUAAAAUGAAGGGGCUGUUGCGGAGAUUGGGGCGGCACAAAAUAUUAGCAUACUCGGAAGAAAGCAUCCUCUGUCAGUCUCAGCCUUUCCCUGCUUGCCGGCUGGGGCACACGCCUGUGUUCCCAGCAUGGCCACUGCUUUCUUUUUCUUUGUUCAUUUGUUUAUUGAUGCUUGUUUACUUCCCAUUGUGGGAAGAACAAAACAACAAGAAAAUAAAGACGUGAACAUGAUCAGACAAAACCAGAGGCAUUUGAGAACUGGUGAUGUCCUCACAGCAAGGUUGGUUUUGAUGGAUUCUUUGGGAUAAGAGUGAGGAGCGCUUGGUUUGUUAUUUAUAAAAGGAGCAGAAUUCACUGUUGGUUCCCUCGGCCCUGGUGUGCACCACAGGCACCUCUCUUCUCCCUCAUUCUGGAAGAGGCUGGCAGAGCUUAGCUCAGCUGGCUUAGUGAAGUCGGAACUUGCCUGGGGACACAAAACUUCCUCCACGAAAGGUUUUUUAUUUAUUUUUUUGUUAAAUAAAGGAAACACUUUUGUGUCUUCUAAGCUGCUGCUGGCCUCCAGCCUGGCUCCCUGCAGCUCCUUCUUCCCAGGAUCUGACUUAGAGUCACGGGGGCUUUCUUGGCAUUCAAAACCCUCACAUGUAUCGGAGCGAAGUAAACGCAGUGAGAACCUCUUUCAGUGAAUUUCCAGGGAAUCUCAACUGUGGGAGCCCCGGAAAGUCCUUCUGCCCCUGAGGACACUGGAGCCACCUAACAGAUGAGGACACUUGGG
This is a long non-coding RNA of Herpailurus yagouaroundi (jaguarundi), 2150 nucleotides long. RefSeq lists it as uncharacterized. NCBI's taxonomy places the organism in Eukaryota, Metazoa, Chordata, Mammalia, Carnivora, Felidae. The transcript is spliced from 3 exons. The record is from RefSeq and is a predicted model, not a curated record.